Molecule: ribosomal RNA, 492 nt
Filed under: Bacillus sonorensis
Lineage: Bacteria; Bacillati; Bacillota; Bacilli; Caryophanales; Bacillaceae
Description: bacterial SSU rRNA
Rfam family: Bacterial small subunit ribosomal RNA
Source: RNAcentral
UGCUCCCUGAUGUUAGCGGCGGACGGGUGAGUAACACGUGGGUAACCUGCCUGUAAGACUGGGAUAACUCCGGGAAACCGGGGCUAAUACCGGAUGCUUGAUUGAACCGCAUGGUUCAAUUAUAAAAGGUGGCUUUUAGCUACCACUUACAGAUGGACCCGCGGCGCAUUAGCUAGUUGGUGAGGUAACGGCUCACCAAGGCAACGAUGCGUAGCCGACCUGAGAGGGUGAUCGGCCACACUGGGACUGAGACACGGCCCAGACUCCUACGGGAGGCAGCAGUAGGGAAUCUUCCGCAAUGGACGAAAGUCUGACGGAGCAACGCCGCGUGAGUGAUGAAGGUUUUCGGAUCGUAAAACUCUGUUGUUAGGGAAGAACAAGUACCGUUCGAAUAGGGCGGUACCUUGACGGUACCUAACCAGAAAGCCACGGCUAACUACGUGCCAGCAGCCGCGGUAAUACGUAGGUGGCAAGCGUUGUCCGGAAUUAUUG